Long non-coding RNA from Solenopsis invicta (red fire ant), 5152 nucleotides. RefSeq lists it as uncharacterized. The transcript is spliced from 3 exons. Lineage: Eukaryota; Metazoa; Arthropoda; Insecta; Hymenoptera; Formicidae. The record is from RefSeq and is a predicted model, not a curated record.
UGCUAGUAAAUUCUUAAUGCUAUACAAAAUCGUAAAAGAGAAACGACCUAUUGGUUCUAUCAGAAGACCGACAGAUACAGUGAAUAGUAUAGCAUUAGCAGUCGAGCAGUGCACACGAAAAUUUUAACGCAAUAUUUCAUUUUGUGAUCUCUAGUUUUGUUUAUCAUUACGAGUUGUACAUUUGGAAAAGGAUCUAGAGAUUUUUUCAAAUCUCUAGAUCCUUUAACCUGCGGAAAUCGAGGGCAAUAGAAAAAAAGUUUGGAAAUUUGAAACAAUUAUAAUGUGAUAAAGAAAGUUCUAGUGCAUCGGCAAAAAAAAAAAUAAAAAUGCAAGAGAACUUAAUUAUACCAGAAGAUUAUUGCAUAGAACAUAAAUAUUAAAUUUUAUAUUACUCAAAAUAACAACGAAAGUUUGAAUCAAUUAAAUUGGAAAAUAAACCCUAAAAUCAUUCCAAGCGGCAAUAAAACCGUAGAAACAGUGGCUUAUAUUGUCCCCGAUAUAUUUAAUGAAGAUACUUUGAAAAAGAAAUUGUUACGCGCUUCAAAAUUUUGGACCUCGGCGUAUAGCAGAGAACUCAAGAUGCAAGGGCACUUUGACGACAUAUUCAAAUUCAAAGUUUGAAAACUGUAAGUGAUUUGGAAGACUCACUCUAUGAUCCUGGAAUAGACAAAUUUGUAUGAUCGGCUUAAAGCUAGAUUGCAAAACGCUUCUAACAAAAAUUGUUUCUAAGAGAUUGUUCAUGUCUUUUUAUUUAUCGAUAAUGUAACAUAAAAAAAUUAUUGAAUUAUUUGUAACAUACAUAUAUUAGAAUGCAUUAACGAUUCUUUCAAAAGGUCUUAUAGUAUUAUAAAAAAAAAAUAGUUUUUUUGGCCUUAUCUUCAGCGAUCAAACCUAGAAUUCUGAGAGCAGCAGUCAUCGUCUUAAUGCCGGACGAUACGUUACUGACUCUUUUAUUUUUUUAUUUUAUACAUAAGGUAAGUCGGGGGAAAGGUUUUAGUUGAGCGAAGAAGUCACUUUGUGUAUAAUUCCUCCACAAAUUAGUGAUUAGCUAAUCUGAUCGUGCAUAAAUGUGCACUAAAUUGUUACGAAACUUUGACUAUAAAGGAAAAUUCCAUAUUAAGAAUCAGUAAAUAUUUAUGAGAAUAAGGAAAGAUAAGUUAAGAAUAAGGAAAGAUAAGAAAUAUUGUCCUUACAAUAUAUUUAAUAACGUAAUAACUAAGUUCUGUGGUACGAUAGUUACUUUAAAAUCAGGUAACUGUUAUAUAGUUUCGAGCUAUGCUUCUUUACAGUCACAUGGUUAGCACAAAUUAUAUUUUUUGAAGUCGUUAUAUGCGUACAAGCUGCAGUGACAUCUUUUCCUAACAUUUGAGGGUAAGAUGCCAAUUUAAGUAAAACGUGAGUAUUUAAGCUUGACAGCUUCAUAAACAUGGUUUAAAAAAUUGCAAUUUUGAGCACUUUAUAUAAUUCUAAACAUUUUAAAUUUGUAAAAUGCUGUUUAAACAUAUAAAAGUAUCAAAGUGUUAGAAGUUAAUCCAUUAAUUGCCUAUUUACAUUUUAACACUUAUUUUUGUGUUUUUAUAAUUUAAACUUGAUUAUCUGCUCUAUAUAAGUAAAACAUGCAAGUUUCUAUUACGUCAUACUAUUUAAAUAGUUGUAACAUUUGCCUUCAUAAGAUGUGGCAUCUUACCAGUAUAGUACGCAGAAAAUGCCAGUUUUACAGUACUUAAAUAAUUUUUUUUCUCAAACAUUUGGAAUGUCAAAAUUUUAAUUACUUUGUACGAAUAAAUAAAGAUCUCAAGAAUACUAUAUUAAUUUUUCAUUGCUUAAUUUCGUAACAUAAUGAAGUUAUUCCAGAAGAAAGGCUCAAGUGUGGCAUCUUCCCUCGACUUACCUUAUAUAUUUUUUUGCAAGAAUGCCUGAAUUUUGCAACUUACACUUUACUGCAUUAAAAGUUUGAAUGAAUAAUACACCAUAAAAUUUUAUUAAAAUCGGUGAAACCCGAUUACUGGAUUCUUCUUAGAAGUGCGAAUCAAAGAGUAAAUUCAUAAAAUGGUUUAACUGUAACGAGUUUGGACACAAGACUCCUAAAUACAAGAAAGAGAAAACAAAAAGGAAGAAAGAUGAAGAACAAGUAACAUCAAAGAAGACUGAACCUAUGAACAGUUAUGAUUCAUGUAAAAAUGUACAUAAGACGAUUGAGAUUUUGAAGGAUAAACUGAAUGCUUUAGUGGACACGGGGUGUUGCGGUUCAAUAUUAACAAGAAAACCUAUAUAAAAAUUAAUCACCGGAAUUUUAAAAAACUAAGCUACGCUUUUCGGGAAGAAACGAGGUAAAGCCUAUGGGAUAUUUUGAAGAUAUAAUUUCUGUUGACGACAAAUCUUUGAAGUAAAUAUCUAUAUAGUAUUGAAUGACGUCUUGAUAACGGAAGUUAAAUUCAAUAUUAUGCAAAAUAGUAUUGUCAUCAAGAAGUUACACGAAGGUACUACUGUCACUGCCUAAUUACGUCACAGAAGAAGGUAAGCCGAGCACUGUGAAUAUUACAUGCAUACAGAAGAAGCAAGAAAUGGAGAAUUUUCUGGAAGAUUAUUAACUACAGAAGAUAAAGAGUGCUAAUAUUGAAAUAACGAUAACAGUCAGUUAUAAUCAAAAGGUUGUAGUAGGACCAAGACUGUUGUUUCUAGAAAGAAAUUAUAGAAGAGCAAGUAGAGCAAUGGAUCAAGGAAAAAAUAAUAGAAUGGUACAAAACUUGUAUGGCACAAAACUUGUUUAUCCCAGUGAAAUAUACAACAUUGAAAGAAUUUAUAGAAAAAUUAGAACUGCAGAAAAGUAUAUUUGAAAGUCCUAGCUGUAUCAUUUCUGAUCAAGAGAGAGUAUUCACAUCCAACGACUUUAAAAACUAUUACCAUUAAAAAGAUAUUAAACACUCAUGAAGAUCACUCGUGAAGACCAUUGUCAAUUUACCAAGAUCUAAUGGUUAAAUUAAAAUCCCAGUUGUAUCAUUUCCGACCAAGGGACAGUAUUCAUUGCCAACGAUUUUGAAGACUACUGCCGUUAGGAAGAUAUUAAACAUAUAAAGAUCAUUGUUGAUUUACCAAGAGCUAAUGGUUACAUUAAAAUCCCAGCUGUAUCAUUUCCGAUCGAGGGACAGUUUUCACUUCAAACAACUUCAAAAACUACUAUCAUUAGAAAGAUAUUUAACACGUGAAGAUCAUUGUCAAUUUACUAAGAGCUAAUGGUCAAAUUAAAAUCUCAACUGUAUCAUUUCCGAUCAAGAGACAGUAUUUAUUUCCAGCAAUUUCGAAGACUACUUCCGUUAGGAAGAUAUUAAAUACCUAAAGAUCAUUGUCAAUUUACCAAGAGCUAAUGGUCAAAUUAAAAUCCCAGCUGCAUCAUCGAGAGACAGUAUUCACUUCCAACAAAUUUGAAGACUACUGCCGUUAGGAAGAUAUUAAACAUAUGAAGAUCAUUGUCGAUUUACCAAGAGCUAAUAGUUAAAUUAAAAUCCCAGCUGUAUCAUUUCCAAUCGAGGGACAGUUUUCACUUCAAACAACUUUGAAGACUACUUCCGUUAGGAAGAUAUUAAACACAUGAAGAUCAUUAUUGAUUUAUCACAAGCUAAUAGUCAAAUUAAAAUCCCAACUGUAUCAUUUCCGAUCGAGGGACAGUAUUCACUUCCAACGACUUUGAAAACUACUAUCAUUAGAAGGAUAUUUAACACGUAAAGAUCAUUGUUGAUUUACCAAGAGCUAAUGGUCAAAUUAAAAUCCCAGAUGCAUCAUCGAGAGACAGUAUUCACUUCCAACAAAUUUGAAGACUACUGCCGUUAGGAAGAUAUUAAACAUAUGAAGAUCAUUGUCGAUUUACCAAGAGCUAAUAGUUAAAUUAAAAUCCCAGCUGUAUCAUUUCCAAUCGAGGGACAGUUUUCACUUCAAAUAACUUCGAAGACUACUUCCGUUAGAAAGAUAUUAAACACAUGAAGAUCAUUAUUGAUUUAUCACAAGCUAAUGGUCAAAUUAAAAUCCCAUCUGUAUCAUUUCCGAUCGAGACAGUAUUCAUUUCCAGCGAUUUCGAAGACUACUUCCGUUAGGAAAACAUUAAACACAUGAAAAUCAUCGUCGGUUUACCAAGAGUUAAUGGUCAAAUUGAGAUGGUAAAUCGCAACAUACAUAUUAAAUAUUAUAUUUUGAUGCGGUGUAUAUAUUUGUGUUUUACAAUUAUUUGGGAUUAAUAAUGUUUUUCAUAAAUCUUUGUAACGUUCUGAAGCAUUAAGCAUUUUCAAAAGUUUUAAUUGCUUAGAAAGCUGUUUCAUAGCCAUUGUCUGGAACGACAUUCUUGACCGUUUUAAUGCAGUAAAUAAACAAUUACAAUCUGUAAAUGCAGACCUUUCUACCGUAGUUGAACUGUACUAAUCAUUAAUUGAAUUUAUCAAUAUAAUGCGUAUAAAUUUCAGUCUUUACAAAAAGAAAACCAUUGAGAAAUGUGGAAGGAAAGAGUAUGAUCGCGAUAUCUCCCGACGUCGAAAACAAAAAAUACCUUACAAUUGUGAGCAGAAUGAUAAUGAUGAAAAUCCAUUGUCUGGUAGUGAUGAUAUGCGUAUCAAUGUGUUUUACGUAAUUUUAGAUGCACUUCUGACCGAUUUGAAUAAACGAAGCGUCUGUUACACCAAUUUAAAUAAUAAAUUCGGUUUUUUAACAAACUUAUAUACAUUAAGUCCAGAAAUAAUUACAGAAAAGCUCUUAAUUUGCAAUCCAGUUAUCCCGACGAUCUAGAAGAUUAGAUGUUGAAUGUCAGCAUCUUGCUGCACAUUUGCGCACACUAAAUGUAAAAGAAUUAUCUGCGUUUGAAUUAUGUAAAAUACUCCAUCAACAAGAGUUUCUUAUUCUGUAUCCGAAUGUAAAUAUCGCACUCCAAAUUUUACUUUGCAUGAUAGUCUCAAAUUGUUCAGGUAAAAGAUCCUUUUCUGUACUGCGGCGAGUAAAAAAUUAAGAACUAUUCAAAGCAAUGACCGCUUAAAUACCUUAGCAUUGUUAUAUAUUGAAGCAGAGUUUAAUUACGAGAUAGAUUAUAAUUCUAAUAUCAACAAGUUUGCUAUUAAAAAAGCACGUAAAGUUCAUUUACAAUAAAUAAGUAUUGUUAUAUAUAAUUGUAUAA